CCUACGGGUGGCAGCAGUGAGGAAUAUUGGUCAAUGGGCGUAAGCCUGAACCAGCCAAGUCGCGUGAGGGAUGAAGGUUCUAUGGAUCGUAAACCUCUUUUAUAAGGGAAUAAAGUGUGGGACGUGUCCUGUUUUGUAUGUACCUUAUGAAUAAGGAUCGGCUAACUCCGUGCCAGCAGCCGCGGUAAUACGGAGGAUCCGAGCGUUAUCCGGAUUUAUUGGGUUUAAAGGGUGCGUAGGCGGCCUGUUAAGUCAGCGGUGAAAGUGUGGGGCUCAACCAGAGAAUUGCCGUUGAAACUGGGAGGCUUGAGUGUGGUUGAGGCAGGCGGAAUGCGUGGUGUAUCGGUGAAAUGCUUAGAUAUCACGCAGAACCCCGAUUGCGAAGGCAGCCUGCCAAGCCAUGACUGACGCUGAUGCACGAAAGCGUGGGGAUCAAACAGGAUUAGAUACCCUUGUAGUC
RNAcentral lists this ribosomal RNA (460 nucleotides) under uncultured bacterium. RNAcentral's name for it is "partial 16S ribosomal RNA". It matches the Rfam family "Bacterial small subunit ribosomal RNA", at positions 338 to 795 of the family's 1533-position model. The record is from RNAcentral.